UGCAGUCGAACGAAGUAGCAAUACUUAGUGGCAGACGGGUGAGUAACAUGUAGGUAUCUGCCCUUUGGCCUGGAAUAACACGAGGAAACUUGUGCUAAUACCGGAUAAGUCUUUACGGAGAAAGCUUUAUGCACCAUUGGAUGAGCCUGCACUUGAUUAGUUUGUUGGUGGGGUAAUGGCCUACCAAGACUGUGAUCAAUAGCUGAUUUGAGAGGAUGAUCAGCCACAUUGGGACUGAGACACGGCCCAAACUCCUACGGGAGGCAGCAGUGGGGAAUCUUGCACAAUGGAGGAAACUCUGAUGCAGCGAUGCCGCGUGAGUGAAGAAGGCCCUUGGGUUGUAAAGCUCUUUCGUCGGGGAAGAAAAUGACUGUACCCGAAUAAGAAGGUCCGGCUAACUUCGUGCCAGCAGCCGCGGUAAUACGAAGGGACCUAGCGUAGUUCGGAAUUACUGGGCUUAAAGAGUUCGUAGGUGGUUGAAAAAGUUAGUGGUGAAAUCCCAGAGCUUAACUCUGGAACUGCCAUUAAAACUUUUCAGCUAGAGUAUGAUAGAGGAAAGCAGAAUUUCUAGUGUAGAGGUGAAAUUCGUAGAUAUUAGAAAGAAUACCAAUUGCGAAGGCAGCUUGCUGGAUCAUUACUGACACUGAGGAACGAAAGCAUGGGUAGCGAAGAGGAUUAGAUACCCUCGUAGUCCAUGCCGUAAACGAUGUGUGUUAGACGUUGGAAAUUUAUUUUCAGUGUCGCAGGGAAACCGAUAAACACACCGCCUGGGGAGUACGACCGCAAGGUUAAAACUCAAAUGAAUUGACGGGGACCCGCACAAGUAGUGGAGCAUGUGGUUUAAUUCGAAGAUACGCGCAGAACCUUACCAACACUUGACAUGUUCGUCGCGACUCUA
This 898-nucleotide ribosomal RNA is filed under the name uncultured marine bacterium. RNAcentral's name for it is "bacterial SSU rRNA". It matches the Rfam family "Bacterial small subunit ribosomal RNA", at positions 56 to 1003 of the family's 1533-position model. The record is from RNAcentral.